CACAACCAAACGACCCCUUAGACAUAUUAAGCUGGUCCACUCAUAUUCAGAACUUUAUACUAAAAAUAUCUACAAUAAAGAUAUCAAAGAACAUCUUUAAUCUCCAUCAUCUGAUGGAACAUUUGAAGAAUCAAUAUCAAACACAAACCUCAAAUGUUUAUAUUGUUGCUGAGGAAGUCAAAGUUAAAGUUGAAGCUGAAUCAUCAAUAGAAACUAAUUCUUCAAAAGAAAGAGAAACAAAUGAUGAAGAAGUUAACUUCAAUCCAAAAAAUCCCCAGAAAUAUAUAGGUGUUCGAAAACGGCCAUGGGGAAAAUAUGCAGCUGAAAUUAGGGAUUCGACGAGGAAUGGAAUUAGGGUUUGGCUUGGAACUUUUGAUACUGCUGAAGAAGCUGCUAUGGCUUAUGAUCAAGCUGCGUUUUCUAUGAGAGGUGCCCAAACUUGUCUGAAUUUUCCAGUGGAAAAAGUGCGCGAAUCGCUACAAAAAAUGGAAUGUAAUAACCUAAAAGAUGGAUUGUUAUCACCAGCUGCAGCCCUAAAAGAGAAACACAAGAAAAGAAAUAGUAGUAGUUCAAGAAAGAAGCAAGUGAAUAUUAUUAAAGAAGAAGAGAAUGUGUUUAUAUUUGAAGAUUUAGGUCCUGAUUUAUUAGAUGAACUCUUAUCAUCUGAGAACUCCUCCUGUUCAAAUUGUUAAUCUACUAAUUUCCCCAUCUAGGGUCUUUCGGAGACAGCAUCUUUACUCCCUCGAGAUAGGAAUAAGAUGAGACGAUCACACACUUUGACAUGGUAGAGGUCACGAGUUCAGCAUCUCAUGGUCACCCAUUGUACAAAAAGACUUUCAUGUGCUUAGCUUGGCCUAUAAAAAUAGAACCAGACCCGCACGGGAGGGGGCGUGUUCGAUGAUAAAGGUAUGAUCUCUCUAACAACUUGAGCUUACACACUUCAACAGCAGUAACAUGGGGACUGAAACUCUUUGUAUGAUUAUGUGUGGAAUUAAUUAAAGAUUCAAGAGCCUAACUAGUUAGGCUUUCUGGUGUAGAAUUGGGGUUUAGCAUUUUGCAACAUUAUCAUUACAAGCUGCUCAUAGCUAGUAUAAUGAUAUAUUUGUUAGAAUCCUAUUCUGUUAAGUGCAUGGGUUGUAAUCUUUGUAAUGAUCAUGAAUAAUUCUUAAUACUUGAGCUAACUUUUGGAGUUAAGUUAGAUUCUCAUUCUAAAUAAUAUCCAUGUGAUAGUGAUAUAUAGAUCAAAUCCGACAUCUCUUGUUUGAGUUCAAAUUGUUGAGCUCUUGUAUUUUUUUUCUUUGUAUAUAUACCUUUUCUUCGUUUUCUUAUGUUUUUUCUGGUUGUUGUUGCUAUUUUGCAUACCGUACUUUUUUGUCAUAACUGUUGUGUUUUUGCUUUAUUGCGCCGAGGGUCUUCUAGAGAUGGCUUCUCUACCUUCACAAGGUAGGGGUAAGAUCUGCGAACAUACUUGAGGAUACAUUUGGUAUGUUGUUGUUAUUAUAUAUAUUACCACUCUACUUAGCUCUUUUAAGUCUUGCUUGUGGUGCCUUUGUCUUACAUAUUUAUUGUAGUAAGACCAUAUUUCGACAUGUUAUUUUUGCUCAAGAGGCAGGGGCAUGCAAUUUUCUCUGUAUCGUUUCAUUCUUUCGGAUGUUUCUG
RNA transcript from Nicotiana attenuata, 1659 nucleotides. It is a transcript of the gene named ethylene-responsive transcription factor 15-like, with no coding region annotated. The transcript has 3 exons. The record is from RefSeq and is a predicted model, not a curated record. Lineage: Eukaryota; Viridiplantae; Streptophyta; Magnoliopsida; Solanales; Solanaceae.